UUGACCUCAAAUCAGGUAGGACUACCCGCUGAACUUAAGCAUAUCAAUAAGCGGAGGAAAAGAAACUAACAAGGAUUCCCCUAGUAACUGCGAGUGAAGCGGGAAAAGCUCAAAUUUAAAAUCUGGUAGUCUUUGGCUGCCCGAGUUGUAAUCUAGAGAAGCAUUAUCUGCGUUGGACUGUGUAUAAGCGUCCUGGAAUGGACCAUCAUAGAGGGUGAGAAUCCCGUCUUUGACACAGACUCCCAGUGCUUUGUGAUGUGCUCUCAAAGAGUCGAGUUGUUUGGGAAUGCAGCUCUAAAUGGGUGGUAAAUUCCAUCUAAAGCUAAAUAUUGGCGAGAGACCGAUAGCGAACAAGUACCGUGAGGGAAAGAUGAAAAGAACUUUGGAAAGAGAGUUAAACAGUACGUGAAAUUGCUGAAAGGGAAACGCUUGAAGUCAGUCGCGUUGGCUGGGGAUCAACCUUGCUUUUGCUUGGCUUACUUCCCAGUUGACGGGUCAGCAUCAGUUUUGACCAGUGGAUAAAGGCUAGGGGAAUGUGGCACCUCCUGGUGUGUUAUAGCCCUUGGUCAUAUACAUUGGUUGGGACUGAGGAACUCAGCACUUGUGCUUAGGAUGCUGGCAUAAUGGCUUUAAGCGACCCGUCUUGAAACACGGACC
Molecule: ribosomal RNA, 657 nt
Filed under: Termitomyces sp. Group3
Lineage: Eukaryota; Fungi; Basidiomycota; Agaricomycetes; Agaricales; Lyophyllaceae
Description: eukaryotic LSU rRNA
Rfam family: Eukaryotic large subunit ribosomal RNA
Source: RNAcentral